GUGGCUGGUUAAGUUCUAGGGGCUAGAACUCUUGAAGCAAGGUGAAGGAGUGCUGUCCUUUGUUCAAUUUUCAUGUGAAUCACUGUUGAAGGAUAGAUACUUGGAUGCCUCAUAAAAAUUAGAUUAACAUUAUAGGUAUUCUUCUGAUCCAAAUUUAUUUUAUUGUACUUUGAUUGAUAUACUCAAGAGUUUCUGGGCAUUAGGAUUUUCGGUGCAUUAGGUAUUUUUAAUGAAAAUUUUAAACACCUAAUCCUUUUGCUGUACCACCGAAAUACAACAC
RNAcentral lists this long non-coding RNA (280 nucleotides) under Elaeis guineensis (African oil palm). RNAcentral describes it as "long non-coding RNA (EGUI_LNC046037)". The record is from RNAcentral. Lineage: Eukaryota; Viridiplantae; Streptophyta; Magnoliopsida; Arecales; Arecaceae.